GCGUGCCUAGCUCAACUGGAUAGAGCAUCGGAAUUCGAGUCCGAGGGUUGGGGGUUCGAGUCCCUCGGCGCGCGCCA
RNAcentral lists this transfer RNA (77 nucleotides) under Hyphomicrobium sp. RNAcentral describes it as "tRNA-Arg". It matches the Rfam family "tRNA". From Rfam's summary of the family: Transfer RNA (tRNA) molecules are approximately 80 nucleotides in length. Their secondary structure includes four short double-helical elements and three loops (D, anti-codon, and T loops). RNAcentral also lists the same sequence under 1 other name. The record is from RNAcentral. Lineage: Bacteria; Pseudomonadati; Pseudomonadota; Alphaproteobacteria; Hyphomicrobiales; Hyphomicrobiaceae.